GACGAACGCUGGCGGCGUGCUUAACACAUGCAAGUCGAACGGAAAGGCCCUGCUUUUGUGGGGUGCCCGAGUGGCGAACGGGUGAGUAACACGUGAGUAACCUGCCCUUGACUUUGGGAUAACUUCAGGAAACUGGGGCUAAUACCGGAUAGGAGCUCCUGCUGCAUGGUGGGGGUUGGAAAGUUUCGGCGGUUGGGGAUGGACUCGCGGCUUAUCAGCUUGUUGGUGGGGUAGUGGCUUACCAAGGCUUUGACGGGUAGCCGACCUGAGAGGGUGACCGGCCACAUUGGGACUGAGAUACGGCCCAGACUCCUACGGGAGGCAGCAGUGGGGAAUAUUGCACAAUGGGCGGAAGCCUGAUGCAGCAACGCCGCGUGCGGGAUGACGGCCUUCGGGUUGUAAACCGCUUUCGCCUGUGACGAAGCGUGAGUGACGGUAAUGGGUAAAGAAGCACCGGCUAACUACGUG
RNAcentral lists this ribosomal RNA (468 nucleotides) under uncultured bacterium. Its description in RNAcentral is "partial 16S ribosomal RNA". It matches the Rfam family "Bacterial small subunit ribosomal RNA", at positions 28 to 507 of the family's 1533-position model. The record is from RNAcentral.